This 253-nucleotide ribosomal RNA is filed under the name uncultured bacterium. Its description in RNAcentral is "partial 16S ribosomal RNA". It matches the Rfam family "Bacterial small subunit ribosomal RNA", at positions 524 to 776 of the family's 1533-position model. The record is from RNAcentral.
UACGGAGGGUGCAAGCGUUAUCCGGAUUCACUGGGUUUAAAGGGAGCGCAGGCGGGCUGGUAAGUCAGUGGUGAAAGCCUUGAGCUUAACUCGAGAACUGCCAUUGAUACUAUCAGUCUUGAAUAUUGUUGAGGUUUGCGGAAUGGGUCAUGUAGCGGUGAAAUGCAUAGAUAUGACCCGGAACACCUAUUGCGAAGGCAGCAGUCUAAACAAAGAUUGACGCUGAGGCUCGAAAGCGUGGGGAUCAAACAGG